Molecule: ribosomal RNA, 655 nt
Filed under: Clostridioides difficile
Lineage: Bacteria; Bacillati; Bacillota; Clostridia; Peptostreptococcales; Peptostreptococcaceae
Description: partial 23S ribosomal RNA
Rfam family: Bacterial large subunit ribosomal RNA
Source: RNAcentral
GGUCAAGUUAUUAAGGGUGCAGGGCGGAUGCCUUGGCACUAGGAGCCGAUGAAGGACGUGAUAAGCUGCGAUAAGCUUCGGGGAGUUGCACGUAAACUUUGAUCCGAAGAUUUCCGAAUGAGGAAACUCACUUAGAGUAAUGUCUAAGUAUCAUUAAGUGAAUACAUAGCUUAAUGAGGGGAACUCAGGGAACUGAAACAUCUAAGUACCUGAAGGAAGAGAAAGAAAUUCGAUUCCGUAAGUAGCGGCGAGCGAACGCGGAUUAGCCCAAACCAAUAAAGUUUUCUUUAUUGGGGUUGCGGACAUAUCAUAACGAAGAGGUAUCGUAAUUGAAGAGGUUUGGAAAGACCCACCACAGAAGGUAAUAGUCCUGUAUGUUAAACGAGAAGACUUUAGAUAUGAUCCAGAGUACCACGGGACACGUGAAACCCUGUGGGAAGCAGGAGGGACCACCCUCCAAGGCUAAAUACUACCUAGUGACCGAUAGCGUAUAGUACCGUGAGGGAAAGGUGAAAAGAACCCCGGGAGGGGAGUGAAAUAGAACCUGAAACCCUGCACUUACAAGCUGUGGAAGCACAUUUCUUGUGUGACCGCGUACUUUUUGUAGAACGGGCCAACGAGUUACGUUAAGUAGCAAGGUUAAGCACUUAAGGUG